This 67-nucleotide transfer RNA is filed under the name Bombus waltoni. RNAcentral's name for it is "tRNA-Thr". The record is from RNAcentral. Lineage: Eukaryota; Metazoa; Arthropoda; Insecta; Hymenoptera; Apidae.
GUUAUAUUAGUUUAUUAAAAUAUUAAUUUUGUAAAUUAAAGAUUUAAAAAUAUAAUUAAAUAUAACA